This 491-nucleotide ribosomal RNA is filed under the name uncultured bacterium. Its description in RNAcentral is "partial 16S ribosomal RNA". It matches the Rfam family "Bacterial small subunit ribosomal RNA", at positions 29 to 507 of the family's 1533-position model. The record is from RNAcentral.
AGUGAACGCUGGCGGUAGGCCUAACACAUGCAAGUCGAACGGCAGCACAGUAAGAGCUUGCUCUUACGGGUGGCGAGUGGCGGACGGGUGAGGAAUACAUCGGAAUCUACUUUUUCGUGGGGGAUAACUAGGGAAAAUUACGCCUAAUACGGAUUCGGCCUACGGGGUAAAACAGGGGAUCUUCGGAACUUGCGGGAUUGGAUGGGCCGAUGUCGGAUUAGCUAGUUGGCGGGGUAAAGGCCCACCAAGGCGACGAUCCGUAGCUGGUCUGAGAGGAUGAUCAGCCACACUGGAACUGAGACACGGUCCAGACUCCUACGGGAGGCAGCAGUGGGGAAUAUUGGACAAUGGGCGCAAGCCUGAUCCAGCCAUACCGCGUGGGUGAAGAAGGCCUUCGGGUUGUAAAGCCCUUUUGUUGGGAAAGAAAAGCAGCAGGUUAAUACCCCGCUGUUCUGACGGUACCCAAAGAAUAAGCACCGGCUAACUUCGUG